UGAACGCUGGCGGCGUGCCUAAUACAUGCACGUCGAGCGAACAGACGAGGAGCUUGCUCCUCUGACGUUAGCGGCGGACGGGUGAGUAACACGUGGAUAACCUACCUAUAAGACUGGGAUAACUUCGGGAAACCGGAGCUAAUACCGGAUAAUAUAUUGAACCGCAUGGUUCAAUAGUGAAAGACGGUUUUGCUGUCACUUAUAGAUGGAUCCGCGCCGCAUUAGCUAGUUGGUAAGGUAACGGCUUACCAAGGCAACGAUGCGUAGCCGACCUGAGAGGGUGAUCGGCCACACUGGAACUGAGACACGGUCCAGACUCCUACGGGAGGCAGCAGUAGGGAAUCUUCCGCAAUGGGCGAAAGCUUGACGGAGUAACGCCGCGUGAGUGAUGAAGGUCUUCGGAUCGUAAAACUCUGUUAUUAGGGAAGAACAAAUGUGUAAGUAACUAUGCACGUCUUGACGGUACCUAAUCAGAAAGCCACGGCUAACUACGUG
RNAcentral lists this ribosomal RNA (495 nucleotides) under uncultured bacterium. RNAcentral's name for it is "partial 16S ribosomal RNA". It matches the Rfam family "Bacterial small subunit ribosomal RNA", at positions 30 to 507 of the family's 1533-position model. The record is from RNAcentral.